UCUACACAGAGAAACUGAAAUCUGGUUAGUCAAGAAGGAAAAAACAGCCAAGUGCCUAGAAUUAAGAGGAUUUUUUUUUUAAGCUCAGCCUACGGACAACAAAAGCAUGGACUGUAUUUCCCAGCAUCUUUCGCAGCUUAUUGUUGAAAGUCCAGUGAGCUACCUCAGGCUUUUCUCUGUGGAAUGACUGUUGCAGAGAACUGCAACUCAGAAGAAUGGAGUUUAAAACUGUGAUGACAUUCUACCUCAUUGAAGAAAUCCUCCAAUGCCAAGGGUGGAUCUCUAAAGAAGGAUUUAAUCCAGGAUCACAUCUUAUAUUUACAAUAACAUGCCUUUUUUCUCCUUCAGUCCGGAACAGUGUCUCAGCCUAUCUUUGUUCUUUAUGACAUUGACAUAUUUUAAAGAAUAAAAGCCAAUUCUUUUGUGCACCAUC
Molecule: non-coding RNA, 433 nt
Filed under: Pongo abelii (Sumatran orangutan)
Lineage: Eukaryota; Metazoa; Chordata; Mammalia; Primates; Hominidae
Source: RNAcentral